UUUUUUGAGUCCUGUUGAAAUCAAGUUUGGAAAGAAAAAAAAAAAAAGAUGUUUCAGGCAAGUUAAUAAUCCCCAGUGAAAACUAUUCACCUGAAACACUUCCCUGCAGUUGAUUUGCUUUAACUUGGACCCUGGUUUCUAUUUGUAUUUCUGGUUUUCAGCUCGAUUAGGUGACCUGUAGUUGCUAGAAUUUGUGGUUUAUUAAAUUAAGUCUCUGUACAACGUUCCACUGCAGCUGGGCCUCCUGUCCCACCCCCUGCAGCAGUAACAAGCACUUCAAGUAUGCAAAGGCUCCAGACAUGGAAAAAUGGAGCUGGGGACUCUUGCCCAGAGGAAAUCUAUAGCUCAGUUAAUGACUCCAGUAGCAGAAAGAAGACAGAUUCUUACAGGGUUCCUGACGUCAGGCAGAGUGCUCCAGAGAGGAAAGACAAUGGGAAAGAGGAAAAGUGAAGCAUGGGAGCAUUCUCCAGGGAGCUGCUUCUUCAAGGCUUCUGAAAAAUGACUUGGACGUGCUGCCAGACUUUAAUCCCUGAUCAUUUGGUGGGGAUUCAAAAGCAAAUGGCAAAGUGCUGACACGUACAAGGAAACAACUACAAUGUCCUCUGUGCUGUUCCUGUGUAGCCAAGAGGAACACGGAAACCUUCGUGUGUAAUAGUGUGGAAACAAGCACAACACAGAGCACAGGCUAGAUUAUGUGCAAACUAAAACUGAC
Pipra filicauda (Wire-tailed manakin) is the source of this 712-nucleotide long non-coding RNA. RefSeq lists it as uncharacterized. The transcript has 3 exons. NCBI's taxonomy places the organism in Eukaryota, Metazoa, Chordata, Aves, Passeriformes, Pipridae. The record is from RefSeq and is a predicted model, not a curated record.